GGCCUCGGAGGCCAAAUUGCAAAUUUGGGUUUAAACUUAACUGUUUCCAGGCUUA
This 55-nucleotide transfer RNA is filed under the name Ptyctolaemus gularis. RNAcentral describes it as "tRNA-Cys". Lineage: Eukaryota; Metazoa; Chordata; Lepidosauria; Squamata; Agamidae. The record is from RNAcentral.